RNAcentral lists this unclassified non-coding RNA (391 nucleotides) under soil metagenome. Its description in RNAcentral is "partial contains 5.8S ribosomal RNA, internal transcribed spacer 2, and large subunit ribosomal RNA". The stretch from base 1 to 122 matches the Rfam family "5.8S ribosomal RNA", at positions 35 to 154 of the family's 154-position model. The record is from RNAcentral.
GAUGAAGAACGUAGUGAAAUGCGAUACUUGGUGUGAAUUGCAGAAUCCCGUGAACCAUCGAGUCUUUGAACGCAAGUUGCGCCCGAAGCCAUUAGGCCGAGGGCACGCCUGCCUGGGCGUCACACGUCGUUGCCCCCCCAUCUACUCCUUCGGGAGUGCGGGGGGCGGAUGAUGGCCUCUCGUGCGCCUCGUCGCGCGGUUGGCCUAAAUGCCAAGUCCUCGGCGACGCACGCCACGACAAUCGGUGGUUGCGAAACCUCGGUUGCCUGUCGUGUGCGGUCGUCGCGCAUCGAGGGCUCGAAAAAAUUGCCGGGCUUCGGCUCGACUUUCAACGCGACCCCAGGUCAGGCGGGGUUACCCGCUGAAUUUAAGCAUAUCAAUAAGCGGAGGA